UGAAGGUGCUGGGCUUGAAGUACAUGAUGAAAACCUGCGGGGACGACAGAGAGUCAAACUGCAGCAGCAGCAGUGUGGACGACAGUUUUUGUAGCAUCCGUGACCAUCCUCCACACGUGUGCACACCAGACAACGAGCCCUCCGGCAGGUGACUGUUUGUAGAUGAAAUGGAAACCCCAUCACAGCUGACCCCUCGCUGAGAUGAGAUGAGAUGAGAGAGUGACCUCUGACCUUUCGUCUGGGACAUUCGGCUCUCAGAACUACAGUCUGAACAUUUCCAUGGACGUUCACCAUUUUUGAUGCUU
Lates calcarifer (barramundi perch) is the source of this 305-nucleotide long non-coding RNA. RefSeq lists it as uncharacterized. The record is from RefSeq and is a predicted model, not a curated record. NCBI's taxonomy places the organism in Eukaryota, Metazoa, Chordata, Actinopteri, Centropomidae. The transcript has 3 exons.